RNAcentral lists this ribosomal RNA (482 nucleotides) under uncultured bacterium. RNAcentral's name for it is "partial 16S ribosomal RNA". It matches the Rfam family "Bacterial small subunit ribosomal RNA", at positions 29 to 523 of the family's 1533-position model. The record is from RNAcentral.
AACGAACGCUGGCGGCGCGUCUUAAACAUGCAAGUCGAACGAUCUGUAGCAAUACAGGGAGUGGCGGACGGGUGAGGAACACGUAGGAAUCUACCUAGAAGAGCGGGACAACCCUGGGAAACCGGGGCUAAUACCGCAUAGUACAGUGAUGUUAAAGGGCUAGCAAUAGUCGCUUCUAGAUGAGCCUGCGGUCUAUCAGCUUGUUGGCGGGGUAACGGCCCACCAAGGCGACGACGGAUAGCCGGUCUGAGAGGAUGAUCGGCCACACUGGCACUGAGACACGGGCCAGACUCCUACGGGAGGCAGCAGUUAAGAAUCUUGCGCAAUGGACGAAAGUCUGACGCAGCGACGCCGCGUGAAGGAUGAAGGCUUUCGGGUUGUAAACUUCGGUAGACUGGGAAGAAAAAGUAAGUUCGUUGAGGGCUUACAUUGACGGUACCAGUCUGAAGCCCCGGCUAAUUACGUGCCAGCAGCCGCCGCGG